Non-coding RNA from Pelobates cultripes (western spadefoot toad), 891 nucleotides. NCBI's taxonomy places the organism in Eukaryota, Metazoa, Chordata, Amphibia, Anura, Pelobatidae. The record is from the annotation of a GenBank genome assembly.
CAAUACAAUGCUUUCCCAAAGUCCUCUUUUUGAAUCAUGUUGUUGGAGAGAUGUAAGUUGAAUUAUCAGUAAAGGCUACACAAAAUGUAUUGUUAGUAAGGAUCUAUACUCUCAUUUCUGCUAAGGGAGAGAUAAAAUCCGUACAAAUCAAUAGAACCGUGGUGUAUACUUUAUUACCGUAUUAAAUAGUAAGCGGCAUCUACCAUGGCGCAUUAUUUCCAUAUUUAGAGAUGUCAUGUUACUACUCAGCUGUGUCUGUGUGUUCCCCCUGUUCACUGUCUAUAUGAGUUGCCAUAUCUAAUACAGUUUCAUUCAGAUACAUGGUCUGACUCGUUCCUGUGUAUUUUCUUGCGUGCGAUUCGAGGUUUCUUUUCAUGGCAGCCACUUAUGUAAGCACUCUCUGUCUGAGCAAUUACCUGAAACUAAGUAAGAACAGAUUACAGAAAGAUCCGACAUUCUCCCAGCCUGCAGUACAUUAUACGGAGCUGCCCCUCUUUACCAGGUAUCAAUAAAGACUAGGCAGGGGAAGAUAUUUGGGGACAGACUUCCUGUGUAUGAAGACAGGCGCUUACCUCCCCUUCGACCGCCGGGUCAUUUUUCCUAGACCUGUUUUAUCCAUAUCUGUCUACAUCCUGCUACUAGAAUUGAACAUUGUUAGUUUUUGUAUGUUUGACUAUGGGUUGCUAAAGUAUGGUGGUUGAGAGUGUUUGUUUAUUUAUUUUUUUCUUUAUUCCAGGAGUCCAGUUCUAAUGCCCAAACUGUAUUCCCAGUGCUAUUGGCUAAAGCUACUGUCCCAGACAAAGGAACCUAUACAGUUUAUUCUGAUAAUACCGUGCUUGCACAUUUUUUGGAUGGAGUAUAUCUUCACAUGACCUGGAAUUUUAAUCACUU